CCUACGGGUGGCAGCAGUAGGGAAUAUUGCUCAAUGGGGGAAACCCUGAAGCAGCAACGCCGCGUGGAGGAUGAAGGUUUUGGAUUGUAAACUCCCUUUGUUAGGGAAGAUUAUGACGGGAUCCUAAGAAAUAGCACCCGCUUACUUCGUGCCAGCAGCCGGGGUAAUUCGGAGGGGGCAAGCGUUACUCGGAAUCACCGGGCGUAAAGAGUGCGUAGGCGGGGUAAUAAGUCAGAUGUGAAAUCCUGUAGCUUAACUACAGAACUGCAUUUGAAACUGUUACUCUGGAGUGUGGGAGAGGUAGGUGGAAUUCUUGGUGUAGGGGUAAAAUCCGUAGAGAUCAAGAGGAAUACUCAUUGCGAAGGCGACCUGCUGGAACAUUACUGACGCUGAUGCACGAAAGCGUGGGGAGCAAACAGGAUUAGAUACCCGAGUAGUC
RNAcentral lists this ribosomal RNA (439 nucleotides) under uncultured bacterium. RNAcentral's name for it is "partial 16S ribosomal RNA". It matches the Rfam family "Bacterial small subunit ribosomal RNA", at positions 338 to 795 of the family's 1533-position model. The record is from RNAcentral.